CCCGGCUUAUCACCGGCAGUUUCUUUAGAGUGCCCAACUAAAUGAUGGCAACUAAGGGCGAGGGUUGCGCUCGUUGCGGGACUUAACCCAACAUCUCACGACACGAGCUGACGACAGCCAUGCAGCACCUGUGUCUAGGUUCCCUUUCGGGCACUCCUGCAUUUCUGCAGGAUUCCUAGCAUGUCAAAGGUAGGUAAGGUUUUUCGCGUUGCAUCGAAUUAAACCACAUCAUCCACCGCUUGUGCGGGCCCCCGUCAAUUCUUUUGAGUUUUAGCCUUGCGGCCGUACUCCCCAGGCGGGGCACUUAAUGCGUUAGCUUCGGCACGGCAACCGUUGAUCGGGUCGCCACACCUAGUGCCCAACGUUUACAGCGUGGACUAC
RNAcentral lists this unclassified non-coding RNA (381 nucleotides) under uncultured bacterium. RNAcentral's name for it is "contains 16S-23S intergenic spacer region". The record is from RNAcentral.